This 187-nucleotide small nuclear RNA is filed under the name Rattus norvegicus (Norway rat). Its description in RNAcentral is "7SK RNA". It matches the Rfam family "7SK RNA", at positions 1 to 189 of the family's 331-position model. From Rfam's summary of the family: 7SK was discovered as an abundant small nuclear RNA in the mid-70s but a possible function has only recently been suggested. Two independent studies have found that 7SK RNA binds the CDK9/cyclin T complex (known as elongation factor P-TEFb). The record is from Rfam by way of RNAcentral. Lineage: Eukaryota; Metazoa; Chordata; Mammalia; Rodentia; Muridae.
GGAUGUGAGGGAGAUCUGGCUGAGACAUCUGUCGUCCCAUUGAUCAACAGGGUUGGUCUGGUGAGCUGAGUCUCCAUGUGGGUGUCCCCUUCCUCCUGCACCACUCGAUGUGUGUCCCUCCCAAAGCUCUGCACCUGAAGAGAAUGACUUGUCCCAAUAAAGUAUGGCUGGUGGGUUCCUCUAUUGG